Piliocolobus tephrosceles (Ugandan red Colobus) is the source of this 411-nucleotide long non-coding RNA. RefSeq lists it as uncharacterized. NCBI's taxonomy places the organism in Eukaryota, Metazoa, Chordata, Mammalia, Primates, Cercopithecidae. The transcript has 2 exons. The record is from RefSeq and is a predicted model, not a curated record.
CCGUGUUAGCCAGGAUGGUCUUGAUCUCCUGACCUCAUGAUCCGCCCACCUCAGCCUCCCGAAGUGCUGGGAUUACAGGCGUGAGCCACGGCGCCCAGCCAGGGAAAGCAUUUUGUGGUUUCAGAGAUCCCACUAAGUGCUCUCCCCUAGAUUUGUGAGAUCCUGCUCUCGAUGGAUAAGUGGACACUACCCAGACCAAUAAUCUGACUCAACCAGUUCUGUGAUCUCACCCAGGAAGAGAAGAUAGCAAGAAAACCUCACUUCAACUUCCCCUAUGAUUCCAUCCCCAAUCUGACCAAUCAGCAUUCCCCACUUCCUGAACCCCUACUCACCAAAUUAUCUUUAAAAACUCCAAUCCCUGAAUGCUUGGAGAGACUGAUUUGAGUAACAAUAAAACUUCAGUCUCCUGCA